CCUACGGGGGGCAGCAGUGGGGAAUUUUGCGCAAUGGGCGCAAGCCUGACGAAGCAACGCCGCGUGGAGGAUGAAGGUCUUCGGAUUGUAAACUCCUGUCGACCGGGACGAAUGCACCCAACCUAAUACGUUGAAGUGUUGACGGUACCGGUGGAGGAAGCCACGGCUAACUCUGUGCCAGCAGCCGCGGUAAUACAGAGGUGGCAAGCGUUGUUCGGAAUUACUGGGCGUAAAGGGCGCGUAGGCGGCCCUAUAAGUCUCGUGUGAAAGCCCUCGGCUUAACUGAGGAUCUGCACGGGAUACUGUAGGGCUCGAGUUCGGGAGAGGAAAGCGGAAUUCCGGGUGUAGCGGUGAAAUGCGUAGAUAUCCGGAGGAACACCAGUGGCGAAGGCGGCUUUCUGGACCGACACUGACGCUGAGGCGCGAAAGCUAGGGGAGCAAACGGGAUUAGAUACCCCUGUAGUC
Molecule: ribosomal RNA, 465 nt
Filed under: uncultured Acidobacteriota bacterium
Lineage: Bacteria; Pseudomonadati; Acidobacteriota
Description: bacterial SSU rRNA
Rfam family: Bacterial small subunit ribosomal RNA
Source: RNAcentral